RNAcentral lists this ribosomal RNA (477 nucleotides) under uncultured bacterium. RNAcentral describes it as "bacterial SSU rRNA". It matches the Rfam family "Bacterial small subunit ribosomal RNA", at positions 365 to 832 of the family's 1533-position model. The record is from RNAcentral.
UUCGCAAUGCCCGAAAGGGUGACGAAGCGACGCCGCGUGUGGGAAGAAGGCCUUCGGGUUGUAAACCACUGUCGGGAGUUAAGAAAUGCAAGGAUAUUAAUAGUGUCUUUGUUUGACUAAGGCUCCGGAGGAAGCCACGGCUAACUCUGUGCCAGCAGCCGCGGUAAUACAGAGGCGGCAAGCGUUGUUCGGAAUUAUUGGGCGUAAAGAGCACGUAGGCGGCUAUGUAAGUCGGUUGUGAAAGCCUUCCGCUCAACGGAAGAACAGCAUCCGAUACUACAUGGCUUGAGUGCGGGAGGGGAGAGUGGAACUUCUGGUGGAGCGGUGAAAUGCGUAGAUAUCAGAAGGAACGCCGGCGGCGAAAGCGGCUCCCUGGCCCAUAACUGACGCUGAGUGUGCGAAAGCUAGGGGAGCAAACGGGAUUAGAUACCCCGGUAGUCCUAGCCGUAAACGAUGGGCACUAAGUAGAGGGGUUUU